GGGCAAGUACCAGAGUGGCCAAAUGGGGCAGACUGUAAAUCUGCUGGUUGUACCUUCGGUGGUUCGAAUCCAUCCUUGCCCACCU
RNAcentral lists this transfer RNA (85 nucleotides) under Rikenellaceae bacterium. RNAcentral describes it as "tRNA-Tyr". It matches the Rfam family "tRNA". From Rfam's summary of the family: Transfer RNA (tRNA) molecules are approximately 80 nucleotides in length. Their secondary structure includes four short double-helical elements and three loops (D, anti-codon, and T loops). The record is from RNAcentral. Lineage: Bacteria; Pseudomonadati; Bacteroidota; Bacteroidia; Bacteroidales; Rikenellaceae.